UGCAAGUCGAGGGGCAGCGGAGCGGAGUGCUUGCACUCUGCUGCCGGCGACCGGCGCACGGGUGAGUAACACGUAUGCAACCUGCCCCGGAGCGGGGGAUAACCCGGCGAAAGCCGGACUAAUACCGCGUAUAUACCCAGGAGGCAUCUUCUGGAUAGGAAAGGACUUCGGUCCGCUCCGGGAUGGGCAUGCGGCGCAUUAGGCAGACGGCGGGGUAACGGCCCACCGUACCGACGAUGCGUAGGGGUUCUGAGAGGAAGGCCCCCCACACUGGUACUGAGACACGGACCAGACUCCUACGGGAGGCAGCAGUGAGGAAUAUUGGUCAAUGGGCGAGAGCCUGAACCAGCCAAGCCGCGUGAGGGAAGAAGGCGCUCAGCGUCGUAAACCUCUUUAGCCGGGGGACAAAACCUCCUCGUGAAGGAGGCUUGAGAGUACCCGGAGAAUAAGCAUCGGCUAACUCCGUGCCAGCAGCCGCGGUAAUACGGAGGAUGCGAGCGUUAUCCGGAUUUAUUGGGUUUAAAGGGUGCGCAGGCGGACAUUCAAGUCUGCGGUCAAAUUCCGGGGCUCAACCCCGGCCAGCCGUGGAAACUGAAUGACUUGAGUGGGCGAGAGGUAUGCGGAAUGCGCGGUGUAGCGGUGAAAUGCUUAGAGAUCGCGCAGAACUCCGAUUGCGAAGGCAGCAUACCGGCGCCUUACUGACGCUCAGGC
Molecule: ribosomal RNA, 711 nt
Filed under: uncultured bacterium
Lineage: Bacteria
Description: bacterial SSU rRNA
Rfam family: Bacterial small subunit ribosomal RNA
Source: RNAcentral